Molecule: non-coding RNA, 336 nt
Organism: Pelobates cultripes (western spadefoot toad)
Lineage: Eukaryota; Metazoa; Chordata; Amphibia; Anura; Pelobatidae
Source: the annotation of a GenBank genome assembly
GAACCAGAUUCGCUUGGGGGUCACCCAGCGUAAGGGGGGUCACCCCUGUACCACAAUGUCACUUUGGAGAGGUGUCUGCCACGCUUGGGGGUCACCCAGCGUAAGGGGGAUCACCCCUGUUAAUCACUCCAUUAUGUGCCUCCACUACUGUGUCCUGGGAGGUGUAUCCCUGUGGGGAAGGAGUGUAUCCAAUGGUUGUGAGGUCCAGUGGGAGUAGGGAGCGGAGUAAGAUAUCAGCUCUAUUUAAUUUCCCUGCCAGUAGAUAGAGUAAUGCAUCCACUAUAUACCCACAGCAGGGGACAGUCCAUUCAUAAUCCUCCAGAUGUACAAUAAAAC